GCAGACGUAGUUUACUAAAAACGUUAGAUUGUGAUUCCAAAAAAAGGGGUUAAACCCCCCUCGUCUGCC
This 69-nucleotide transfer RNA is filed under the name Thryssa kammalensis (Kammal thryssa). RNAcentral's name for it is "tRNA-His". It matches the Rfam family "tRNA". Rfam says of the family: Transfer RNA (tRNA) molecules are approximately 80 nucleotides in length. Lineage: Eukaryota; Metazoa; Chordata; Actinopteri; Clupeiformes; Engraulidae. The record is from RNAcentral. RNAcentral also lists the same sequence under 1 other name.